This 266-nucleotide long non-coding RNA is filed under the name Elaeis guineensis (African oil palm). Its description in RNAcentral is "long non-coding RNA (EGUI_LNC082574)". Lineage: Eukaryota; Viridiplantae; Streptophyta; Magnoliopsida; Arecales; Arecaceae. The record is from RNAcentral.
CUAUGAAAGUUCGGACGGCGUCUGGUUCUUAUAGAAGGCUAAAAGGAGACCGCUUAUUAUAGAAGCUUGGUCGAAGAUCGAUUAUCGUGGGAGCUCGGAGUAGCGAUCUGGCUAGUGGGUCCUGUCCCAUUGUAGAAGCUCGUUUGGGAUCCGACCAUGAAGAAGCUCGACUGAAGUCUACCUGUAAUGGAAGUUCAGAAGAAAUGUGUUUACAGUAGGGGCUCGAAUGAAAUUUGCUUACAGUAGAGAUCCGGAGUAGACCGCCC